GAAAUCGAGGUCGUCAUCUUUUGCUUGGUCUACGAA
This 36-nucleotide small RNA is filed under the name Arabidopsis thaliana (thale cress). RNAcentral's name for it is "ATSL233860". The record is from RNAcentral. Lineage: Eukaryota; Viridiplantae; Streptophyta; Magnoliopsida; Brassicales; Brassicaceae.